RNAcentral lists this ribosomal RNA (236 nucleotides) under uncultured bacterium. RNAcentral's name for it is "partial 16S ribosomal RNA". It matches the Rfam family "Bacterial small subunit ribosomal RNA", at positions 118 to 347 of the family's 1533-position model. The record is from RNAcentral.
UGAGGAACAUGACCUUCGGCGGGGGAUAGCCGGCCCAACGGCCGGGUAAUACCGCGUACGACCUUUUGGGGACAUCCCUGAAUGGUGAAAGCAGCAAUGCGCCGAUGGAGUGCCUCGCGGCCUAUCAGCUAGUUGGUGAGGUAACGCUCACCAAGGCAACGAUGGGUAGCUGGUCUGAGAGGACGACCAGCCCACACUGGAACUGAGAUACGGUCCAGACUCCGUACGGGGAGCAG